UGGUAAAAUGUGAUGUACCUAGUAAUAUUAGUGAUUAAUAUGAGGCUAACCGAGUUAGUUAAAAUUCUAAGUAUAUAUGUGAUUAUGACAAUAUGUGCUUAUUUCUUGACCAAGUCACGUGCCAGCCGUCGCGGUAAUACGUGGAAGAUCAGUGUUAUUCAUCUUUAUCAGGUUUAAAGGGUACCUAGACGGUUAAUUAAGCUUUAGUAGGAACUAAUUAACUAGAGUUUAAUGUAAGAAUGAUUGAGUACGGUGAGUGUAGAGAUAAAAUUCUGUCAUACCACUUAGGAACUGGUAAAAGCGAAGGCAACUUUCUAUGUAAAAACUGACGUUAAGGGACGAAGGCUCGUAUCAAAUAACAGGAUUAGAUACCCCAGCAUUGUGGGCAGACAAUGAUGAGUGUCAUAUGCAAGAGAUAAAAAAAAAAUAUUUUGUGUAUAAAUGAAAGUGUAAGCACUCCACCUCAAGAGUAACGUGGCAACAUGGGAACUGAAAUCAUUAGACCGUUUCUGAAACUCGUAGUGAAGUAUGUUGUUUAAUUAGAUGGUGCACAAAUAACCUUACCACAAUUUGUAUAACUAUAGUACAUAAUAAUAAUAUAGUUACAAGCGUUGCACGGCUGUCUUUAGUCUAUGUUGUGAAACUGUGGUUAGAUCCAUUAAAUAGACGUAAACCCUUACCUUAUUUAUUAUAAAGUAGUUCGCCGCUAUAUCGGUAGUGAUAUAAAGGACUAGGACA
Molecule: ribosomal RNA, 738 nt
Filed under: Diploschistes sp.
Lineage: Eukaryota; Fungi; Ascomycota; Lecanoromycetes; Ostropales; Graphidaceae
Description: mitochondrial SSU rRNA
Rfam family: Bacterial small subunit ribosomal RNA
Source: RNAcentral